CCUCGGCCGCUCCUAUAUAUCCUUACGUCGGGCCCGGCCCCCCUCUCCUCCGGCCGCCGCCGCCGAGACCCGCGGAUUGCAGAGCCGCCCCGAGGUGGGCUGAAGAAGUCGGGGAUAACCCCGGGGGGAAGAGGGGUGGCCGGGCCGGGACCCCCCGCGAACCAUUGCUGCCCCCGCUCCAUCCCCAUCCCCACGGCGGCCGGGCCGGGGCGCGGAGCCCCCGCGGAGCCUCCGUGUACCGCGCUGGGCCGGCCCCGCAGCCGGACAAACAAUGUGCGACUUGGCGGAACAAAAGCCGCAGGGCUUGGGUUGCUGAACACGUCUGAGGCCAGACGAGCCGCGCGAUUUAUUGGACUUGGUGAGAAAAUCAUAAUAAAAUAAAUAAAUAAUAAAUAAAAA
Molecule: long non-coding RNA, 399 nt
Organism: Aquila chrysaetos chrysaetos
Lineage: Eukaryota; Metazoa; Chordata; Aves; Accipitriformes; Accipitridae
Exons: 2
Source: RefSeq, a predicted model, not a curated record